This 218-nucleotide long non-coding RNA is filed under the name Elaeis guineensis (African oil palm). RNAcentral describes it as "long non-coding RNA (EGUI_LNC066993)". The record is from RNAcentral. Lineage: Eukaryota; Viridiplantae; Streptophyta; Magnoliopsida; Arecales; Arecaceae.
GGUUAUCUUAAGACUUGAGGAUAUCUGGCCUAUGUCAAGAGACAGAUGGUGAAAAAGUUGGAGGAUAGAUAUAUUAUUGCUCGCUUUAUAGGGUACCCAAAAGAAUUCAUGGGAUACUACUUCUACUUUCCACAAGAUCACAAUAUGAUUGUGAGUCGAAAUAUCAUGUUUCUGAAAAAAUAGUUUAUCCAGGAUGGCGACAGUGGGAGGUUAGUGAA